Molecule: long non-coding RNA, 2485 nt
Filed under: Manihot esculenta (cassava)
Lineage: Eukaryota; Viridiplantae; Streptophyta; Magnoliopsida; Malpighiales; Euphorbiaceae
Description: long non-coding RNA (MESC_LNC004412)
Source: RNAcentral
AGCUCGAGUUAACUACAUUUGUAACAAGUUGGGUAUAAUAAAUAUCUAUACUCCAACUUGAGGAGUGUUAUGGAAAUCAAAUGUAAAUAUAUUGUAUAUCCUUUCCUUACUAAAUAGCUUGAUUCUAGUAUUGAUUCUAGGGCUUGAUUUUAGGAAUUUAAUUGGGUUUUACAUUUCUUUUUAGUGAGAGAACAUGUAUAUAAAAUGUAUUAUUUCCCUAUAUAAAUACACAUCAUAUUAUUAUCCUCUACAGAGAACAUUGUGGUUUUCAUUUUUUCAGAUAUGUAAACAUGUCUAACUUACAGAAUUAGUUUUUGAUUUCCUUGACUUAGCUAGAAUUGUUUAUAUAAUAGAGAAACAAGGAAUUUUAGUACCUAGUUUCCUUUCUAUAUGAAAGGAAUUAAUAUAAUUGGAUACAAGGAAUCGUUUGACCUAACUCUCUAAAGUUGGAAGUUAGUUCAUAAAAUAUUUCUAGCUUAUUAAAAUUGAGUAAAAUAAAUUUUAUUGAUAUAAAGACUAUAAAAGGACUUCUAGGAACACAUAUAUUUUUUAUAAUUGAAGCAAUAGAGAUAAUUAUUUAGACUACAAUAAAGUUUAGGGCGUGUUAUAGGUUAUAGGAAAGAAAUAUAUUAAUAUAGGAAGUAAAUAUUGAUAGAUGGGUCAGUUGCUUAAUUUUAAGGAUUGUAUAAUCAUAGGCUUGAUUUUCCUUUUUAGAUACAGUCUCUCAUGUAUAAAUAGGUUGUAAUUUCUAUUGUAAAAUAUAACAAAUAUUAUCUUUCUACCGGAUAUUAUGUUUUUGCGGGAGGUAACCUGGUCUCAUGGAAAAGUAAGAAGCAAAAUGUGGUCUCCCGUUCUAGUAAUGAAUCUGAAUAUCGAGCCAUGGCACAAGCCGUUUGUGAAGUUUUGUGGGUACGUCAACUAUUGGAAGAAGUUGGGUUCACAAAUUUGGUGCCUGCUAAGUUGUGUGAUAAUCAAGCAGCUAUCCACAUUGCCUCCAAUCCAGUAUUUCAUGAGAGGACUAAACACAUCGAGAUUGAUUGUCAUUUUGUUCGUGAAAAGGUCCAAUAAAAGAUAAUAUCAACUGGACAUAUCCGAACAGGAGAACAACUAAGAAAUAUCUUCACUAAAGCUCUAAAUGGGACUCGAGUUGAUUAUAUAUAUAACAAGUUGGGCAUGAUUAACAUCUAUGCUCCAACUUGAGGGAGAGUGUUAUAGGAAGUAAAUAUGUUAAUAUAGGAAGUAAAUAUUGAUAGAUGGGUCAGUUGCUUAAUCUUAGAGAUUAUAUAAUCGUAGGCUUGAUUUUCCUUCCUGUUUAGAUAUAGUCUCUCAUGUAUAAAUAGGUUGUAAUUUCUAUUGUAAAAUACAAUAAAUAUUAUUUUUCUACAGGACCAAAACUUAAGUAGCAUAAUUGGACAUUGAAUUAUUAGUCAUGCAGGCCCCAAAUAGGCAUGUGACCAUUGUUAUGGGCUCGAGGCCAUGGUGUUCUUGUCGUUGAAUUCUCCUUGCAAGGAGUUUGGUCCAAAUUACAGAGGAUUCAAGACUUAAUAGUUAGCUCUUCGAUUUGAGUUCAUGGGUAUGCAAAUCACUGCUUUCAUGCAUUGCGUAUCACCACUUCAUUUGGGUUCGUGGACAUGAUUUUUGUUUUGAGAUUCUGCUUAUCCUUCUUGCUGAGAUAUUUAGGUUUUGCGCUUCUAGUGAUUAAUAUCUGAGUUCCUCGCUUGCCUACAGUUAUUGCUUUUUUAGUUGGGACAAAGUUUUAUAUUAUCUGUUUCAUGGGAUGUAUAACAUCAUGGGAUUGGUUGAUUGUUGUUGAUUAAUGUAUCAAUGCUAUGGAAGAAUCAUGGGAUUGAGCUUUUAUUUGCUGAUACAUCAAAGAUUCAAAAUGGAUAAACCACAACAUGUGUUUGUGUUUUUCUUUGGAUGAAUAAAAUCGGGAAGCUUUUGUUCGGCUUAACGAUUUACCCAACUGAUUUUGCGGUUCGGUUUGAUUUGGUUAUACAAAUAGUUUGAUUCGAUUUGAUUUAUUUUAUAAAAAUAAGCUUUUUAGUUUUCCUAUUUUUCUAAUUUAGUUCGGUUUGUAACUCAACCGACCGAUUAUACAACCUUAAAUAUAUCCUUAGCAUGAAUAGUACAUUCAUCUAUAAUUCCCCAACUUGAGAGAGCCAAUUAUACUGCUGCUGUGACUCUUUUAAACUUCCAAUUGUUGGAAAACUUGAUGAUCCUAUGGCCAGCGCAAAAAAAGUUUUAAAUAAAUGAUCCUAUUGCAAGCGCAAAAAUGGCCUUGUUUUGUAUGUUCAAAGCAUAAUACAAAAAUAUCUCCUACUUCCAAUUACUGGUGCUUCCUUAUAUUUAAGGUUUUAUGAUUUUAUCUAUGUCCAGAGUACACCACCUCAUAAAAUAAUAACUCCUCCAACUCGCAAAACACUAGAUAAAAGAUGAAAUAUAGUGUUAAUUUUCAAUAUUUGAAGGGUAUAAUCAAGUAAAA